RNAcentral lists this ribosomal RNA (253 nucleotides) under uncultured bacterium. Its description in RNAcentral is "partial 16S ribosomal RNA". It matches the Rfam family "Bacterial small subunit ribosomal RNA", at positions 524 to 776 of the family's 1533-position model. The record is from RNAcentral.
UACAGAGGUCCCAAGCGUUGUUCGGAUUCACUGGGCGUAAAGGGUGCGUAGGUGGUGGGGUAAGUCGGAUGUGAAAUCUCUAGGCUUAACCUGGAAAUGGCAUCGGAAACUACCUUGCUCGAGGUUUGGAGGGGGGACUGGAAUACUUGGUGUAGCAGUGAAAUGCGUAGAUAUCAAGUGGAACACCAGUGGCGAAGGCGAGUCCCUGGACAACACCUGACACUGAGGCACGAAAGCUAGGGGAGCAAACAGG